UCGGGUAUGGUGUACGGCGCACCGCUCCUUGCAAUAGCUUGCCGGUAAAGGAGUGCUGAAGGAGCAGACCGGGGUUCGACUCCCCGUACCCGAG
Molecule: non-coding RNA, 94 nt
Organism: Mycena rebaudengoi
Lineage: Eukaryota; Fungi; Basidiomycota; Agaricomycetes; Agaricales; Mycenaceae
Source: the annotation of a GenBank genome assembly